Long non-coding RNA from Felis catus (domestic cat), 3552 nucleotides. RefSeq lists it as uncharacterized. The record is from RefSeq and is a predicted model, not a curated record. The transcript has 2 exons. NCBI's taxonomy places the organism in Eukaryota, Metazoa, Chordata, Mammalia, Carnivora, Felidae.
AUAAUCAGAACAGUCAGAUAAGUGGUGCAAAACAGACAGUUAAUAAGCGGCAGCAUUCAGACUCAAACUUGGGACUGCUUGAUUUUAAAGUGUCACGAUCUUUUCAUGAUAUUAUAUUGGUUUAAAAAAAAAAAAAGAAGAUUGACACGUGCCUGCAGCUCCAGGAAGAGCUAGACUGGAGAGGUAAAUUAAGUCCGUUGGACAGUGGGAUCCUGAGAUAAGCAGAGGGCCAGGCCCUCAUGGAGAAACCGUGUAUUCUAUCUCUACCUGCCGUGGCCCCUCCGGGGGAGCUGCAGAGUGACUGCCCUUCCCCCGAAAGGUCUUUCCCAUUAAGCAGAUUGCACUUAGGAACACCCGCCCAGGAGCGCUCCAGCUGAUUUAAGCAUCUUUGCUUUUAAUUUUUGGUACCUUUCAGAGGGAAAGAGAAAAAUAAGGUUAGUUUCCUGAAGUGUAAUUGUUUCGGGCAGUUAUUUAUUAAUGAAAGGGAACAACAUGUCAACAAAGCCCGGGUUUAGCUGUAGAACUAAUGUUAGCCAAGGCGCAGGCUAUAAGAUAGGUAAGCCUGCUGUCAGUCUGCAUUUGUCCAGCUCCAUGAUCACCUAUUAAUUACUUGUGUUCCUGCCCCAGCUGGGGGACAGUCUCUGCUGCCUCCCCCUUGAGGGCUGCUGAGCUCCAGGGGUGGGGAGGCACCCUCUCUGACACGGUUCUCCUUACGGAGUUGUGUGGGCCUUGGCGAGUCCUCCAAGGUUCUGAAGACUCACUCUGGGCCUGUGCCCCAGGGUGGUGGCAGGAUAAGGCCAACAGCUUCCUCUGUGGAAGAAGUGGGGUGUGGAACUUUGACCUGGGUUGUCGGUGAGUUGCGUGAACGUGUUGUAUUUGGAGUCAGUGAGACCGUGGGGGACUGUUUUAAGUUUCCUCGUGUAUAAACAGGGGAGGAGGAUGAUAGGACAUCCCUCACAGGAUAGAAGGAUCGAAUGUGGUAAUGCACAUGGAAACUUGUGCAACACAAAGCAUGCUACAAAUCGUGUGCACGUGCACAUGUGUGCAGGCGGGCCUGUGAGUUUGGUCAAGGUGGAGUAACACUCAUGGGGAAGACCCAAGGAAACGAAGUAAUUGACCUGAAGAAUCCUCUCGCCUGGAAAUUAGAAAGGUGUAUGUCAGGGAUGCUCAUGACAACAUCUUUUUCAGCAAAAAUUUCAACAAAACUCUCGUCUAAUAGUAGUUUAGACUCAUGAAGGCAUUAAUAAUUCCUUUGCUGGGCUGAUCCACUGCUCUGUGCUGUCACCAAGGUGUUGGGCACUCCACUAUCCUUGACGUGUUGGUUUUCUGCCCUCACACUCACCCCCUCAUUACCAUGGAAUGGCUAGCAGCUUCUCACUCAAGACAGGAAGAAAGAAGGGGCUUCAUAAGCUGUAUCUCUCCAUUUUCCCUUGGAAAGCAAUUUUUUUUUUCCCCAGAAACCCCUGUCCAAAAUUGGUCCCAUGGCUACUCAGAUUGUAUGAGGACCCAUAAGGAAAUUUCUCCUUUCAAGGCAUUUCAAGAUAAAGGAAGCUCAUGAAAAGUUCCAGAUAAAGAUGCAGGAUGCUGAAGAAUCAAUAACAUUUAUUGAGUGCUUACUAAGUGCCAGGCACUGUUCUAAAUGUUUUACAUGCAAAGCUCACUUAACAGGGAGAAGGUCCUGCUGCCGGGACAGCCAAGCCCCCAUAGGCCGCUCCACAUACUUCUGUGCAGGCUGACAAAAUGCAAGAAGGUACCUGUGCAAACAUGGCUUUUAAUCAUGGUCAGGAAGACACGUGACCACUGGGUCCAUUUCAAUGACUUCAUCCAUUCUGCUCAACCUCCUGACUCUGCCCCUAUUGCUAUUUUGACAUUCAUUCACAUACUAGCCAAAGCUUUCCUGUCCCCACUACCUCCAUGUAGGCUGCAGCUGGAUAAACCAUCACUUACACCCAUUUUCUGGAAAGCUCUUCUUUGGGCAAGUGCUCAUUGAGUUUCUGAGAAAAGCUGCCAUGGGGGCCAGCAUACCACCUAGGGAAGAAACCCAUCAGCAAGGACAGGCUCGGAGCUCCCCAGAACAGCGUAUGAUUGUCAUAAUGUCAUGUUGGAGGAACGAUAACCUUACCCUGCUUAAAGAGAAACCUCUUGCGUGUCACCAACAAUCAUGCAAACUAGACUCUUAAAAUGAGAUUAGGUCAAAGUACAACCAAUCAAAGCGGGAGUCUCCGUCGCUCUAUGACUUCAUUUAAAGUUUCAGUGCCAGCAGGAAGAAGAAAGAAAUCAAUAUUACAUUUUCUUCAUCAUCAAUUUUGCUUUUUGCUAAAUGAAAAUGCUUUCAUUCCCUCCCUGGUUCCUUCCACCAUGGAAGAUGUUCCUUGUCUCCCCCCCCACUCUCCCCCGUUACUAUCUUCACCCCCAUCCUGUUAUGCCAUGUAGGACAGUGCCGUACGUGUGCCUUUUUGGACUAAGCACUUAAGAGUAUUGCAGAGGAUGUCAUCUUAAUUCACCAAAGAUUUGCGAGUAUGACAGUCCUCGCUCAGCUGGCCUUCCUGCUGCAGCUGGGCUCUGACCGUGUUCUGCUCUACGGAUGGAGCGUGGAUAACUUACUCCAAACAGCUCUUGAGGCCCCAAGGGCACAUCCCCCCUCAAUGCCCUGUGCCAGGCUGUAGUACCAGACCCUGUAGAAGGGAAUUUGAUAGGCAAGGCGAGCCCUUCUUGGAUUCAUUCACGGGCUUGGGUUACAGAAGCAGCAAAGGGACCUCAUUAUAAGAUGUUCUCACCUGCUCCGUUACAGAAGAACUGUAAGGCUUUUGCUGAACAACACAGUGGUCUCGUUCCCACAGUGGUCCCCACAGCAGUGGCCUUCAAGGGCUCUCAACCAGCUCCCACUCUAUUGGCGCUAAGAUGUUCCCCAUCCAGGACUUGACUCACUCGGCAGUAUUUGCGAAGAGAGACAGAAACAAGAAUUUUGCAAUAGAGGAAGGAAAAAUAAUACAAGUCCACGGGGCUGGAAACUCAUUUCCUGAGGAGUAGAAACACAUCGCAUGCUCUCUGGGACUCACCGAGCUCCAGGAAGCUCGACCAGUCACUUAAUAAGUCAUUGAGGACGUGUGGUUUAAUUAACUCGCCCAAAAUUCCUCCUUUCCCUUUCUCACUUUUGCUAUUAAUAUUUUUCGAUAUCUGAUAAUGCAGUGUAGUUAAUUCUUUCUGGCUUUAUAAUGAACACUGCCAUAAUGAAAAAGGUUAGCAGUGCUUCAGGCAGCUUUUAAUUAUCCAGCCGAGCAGGUAAAAGCACUUUAUUCUUCUCUUUUUUUCCCCUUACUUAGCAAUUAAUGGAGGAGCUCAGUGGCACUCACUGUACCUUUUUUGUUUUCUAAUGGAUGAUGCGGCACGGAGCAGGGAGGCCUUACUGUACCCCUGUUACUACCAAGUGCAAACGCUGGAUAUUGCACUGCUGCGAUUCAGGUCUCUGGUUUGCGGGGCGGAAGCAAUUCUGCUGCCGGCUGAAGGCUUCUCUAAUUAAAAAGCCGAGUUACCUGGAGUUGUUGCUACCAA